This 463-nucleotide ribosomal RNA is filed under the name Vreelandella stevensii. Its description in RNAcentral is "partial 16S ribosomal RNA". It matches the Rfam family "Bacterial small subunit ribosomal RNA", at positions 338 to 794 of the family's 1533-position model. The record is from RNAcentral. Lineage: Bacteria; Pseudomonadati; Pseudomonadota; Gammaproteobacteria; Oceanospirillales; Halomonadaceae.
CCUAGGGGUGGCAGCAGUGGGGAAUAUUGGACAAUGGGCGAAAGCCUGAUCCAGCCAUGCCGCGUGUGUGAAGAAGGCCUUCGGGUUGUAAAGCACUUUCAGUGGGGAAGAAAGCCUUGGGGCUAAUACCCUCGAGGAGGGACAUCACCCACAGAAGAAGCACCGGCUAACUCCGUGCCAGCAGCCGCGGUAAUACGGAGGGUGCGAGCGUUAAUCGGAAUUACUGGGCGUAAAGCGCGCGUAGGCGGUCUGAUAAGCCGGUUGUGAAAGCCCCGGGCUCAACCUGGGAACGGCAUCCGGAACUGUCAGGCUAGAGUGCAGGAGAGGAAGGUAGAAUUCCCGGUGUAGCGGUGAAAUGCGUAGAGAUCGGGAGGAAUACCAGUGGCGAAGGCGGCCUUCUGGACUGACACUGACGCUGAGGUGCGAAAGCGUGGGUAGCAAACAGGAUUAGAUACCCAGUAGC